GCAGUCUGCAACUCGACUGCAUGAAGCUGGAAUCACUAGUAAUCGCGGAUCAGAAUGCCGCGGUGAAUACGUUCCCGGGUCUUGUACACACCGCCCGUCACACCAUGGGAGUUGGUAACGCCCGAAGUCAGUGACCUAACCGAGAGGGAGGAGCUGCCUAAGGCGGGACCGAUAACUGGGGUGAAGUCGUAACAAGGUAAC
RNAcentral lists this ribosomal RNA (201 nucleotides) under uncultured bacterium. RNAcentral describes it as "partial 16S ribosomal RNA". It matches the Rfam family "Bacterial small subunit ribosomal RNA", at positions 1300 to 1500 of the family's 1533-position model. The record is from RNAcentral.